This 91-nucleotide microRNA precursor is filed under the name Heligmosomoides polygyrus. Its description in RNAcentral is "microRNA hpo-mir-10125 precursor". Lineage: Eukaryota; Metazoa; Nematoda; Chromadorea; Rhabditida; Heligmosomidae. The record is from miRBase by way of RNAcentral.
UCCGAGUAGGGUGGAAUCAGAGGGCUUCGGUACGCCAGAUCUUAUAAUGAGGUACUAGCGAGAGGUAUCGGUAUGAGCUACCUCCUUGAUA